UGAAUAAAUGGAAGCCACAGAACACAUCUUCGAGAAGAUAGAAACAAGAAGAACCCCCUCGAGUUCUAGACAGAAGUAAAGACAGGAAGACAUGGAACUCUUUUCUUGGAAACCAUGCACUAAGAUUCAUCUGGCACGUAAAUAGGUGUGGUUCUCUGCAUGGUCUGGGUUUCAUCCACGUGCCUAAGAAAAUCUAAAUCGAAUACGAUAACAUUUUUCCUUUAAUUUUA
This is a long non-coding RNA of Populus euphratica (Euphrates poplar), 230 nucleotides long. RefSeq lists it as uncharacterized. The transcript has 2 exons. NCBI's taxonomy places the organism in Eukaryota, Viridiplantae, Streptophyta, Magnoliopsida, Malpighiales, Salicaceae. The record is from RefSeq and is a predicted model, not a curated record.